GUAUUUUGACCCGUGCAAAAGGUAGCGCAAUCACUUGUCUUUUUAAAUGAAGACCUGUAUGAAUGGUGGAACGAGGGCUUAACUGUCUCCCCCCUCUGGUCAAUGAAAUUGAUCUGCCCGUGCAGAAGCGGGCAUAAUUAUACAAGACGAGAAGACCCUUUGGAGCUUAAGAUAAAAGACCAACUAUGUCAAAAGUCCUAAAAAAGACUAAACCAAAUACCACUGGUCCCAAUCUUCGGUUGGGGCGACCACGGGAGAAAACAAAGCUCCCACGCGGACUGGGGAAACCCCCCAAAACUAAGAGAGACAUCUCUAGUGCACAGAACAUCUGACCAAAAAGAUCCGGCCAUAUGCCGACCAACGGACCAAGUUACCCUAGGGAUAACAAGCGCAAUCCUCUUCCAGAGUCCAUAUCGACAAGAGGGUUUACGACCUCGAUGUUGGAUCAGGAUAUCCU
RNAcentral lists this ribosomal RNA (457 nucleotides) under Ancistrus sp. NUP701 16647. RNAcentral's name for it is "partial 16S ribosomal RNA". It matches the Rfam family "Bacterial large subunit ribosomal RNA", at positions 1936 to 2548 of the family's 2925-position model. Lineage: Eukaryota; Metazoa; Chordata; Actinopteri; Siluriformes; Loricariidae. The record is from RNAcentral.